Molecule: ribosomal RNA, 509 nt
Filed under: uncultured bacterium
Lineage: Bacteria
Description: bacterial SSU rRNA
Rfam family: Bacterial small subunit ribosomal RNA
Source: RNAcentral
GGCGGCGUGCCUAAUACAUGCAAGUCGAACGGUCUUUCUAUGGAAGCUUGCUUCCACUGAGAAGAUAGUGGCGAACGGGUGAGUAACACGUGGGUAACCUGCCCAUAAGAGGGGGAUAACAUCCGGAAACGGGUGCUAAUACCGCAUAGUUUUCUUGAUCGCAUGAUUGAGAAAGGAAAGACGGCCUUUGUGCUGUCGCUUAUGGAUGGACCCGCGGCGUAUUAGUUAGUUGGUGAGGUAACGGCUCACCAAGACGACGAUACGUAGCCGACCUGAGAGGGUGAUCGGCCACAUUGGGACUGAGACACGGCCCAAACUCCUACGGGAGGCAGCAGUAGGGAAUCUUCCGCAAUGGACGAAAGUCUGACGGAGCAACGCCGCGUGAGUGAAGAAAAGGUUUUUCGGAUCGUAAAACUCUGUUGUCAGAGAAGAACAAGUUGGAGAGUAACUGCUCCAGCCUUGACGGUAUCUGACCAGAAAGCCACGGCUAACUACGUGCCAGCAGCGGC